This is a non-coding RNA of Verrucomicrobia bacterium CAG:312_58_20, 84 nucleotides long. NCBI's taxonomy places the organism in Bacteria, Pseudomonadati, Verrucomicrobiota. The record is from Rfam.
GCUCAGGUGGUGAAAUUGGUAGACACACUGGCUUUAGGCGCCAGUGCCCGCAAGGGCGUAGGGGUUCGAGUCCCCUCUUGAGCA